AAAAAAAAAAAAAAAAAACACAUUUUUAAAGAAACAAUUGAAAAAUGGCUACAAAAGCUAGUCUGAGAUAUUUUAAUACCAUAGCUUUCAAACCACAUGAUCAAACAAUUUGAAACUCAUACAAAAAUCCUUGGUUAUCAUACCAAUCAUGUUUCCAACAUAAGCACACCAACAACGCAUGCAUAAAGGGCCAAUCCACAAUACAAAGGCUAAAGUUGCACAAGAUACUCAAUGUCUUGUAGCUCUACCAUCAGGAAUGAGAAAUCAAUGUUACGAGAAAAAAGAAAAACAGGAAUUACAACUGGUGAAGAUGAAGGACGAUGUAUUUGCAAACCCAAGAACCCAAUCUAGAUAACCUUCAUGAAACGUUUUCCAAUAUUGAGCUAUUCACCACUCCAAUGAUAUAAGGCAUAUGUAAAACAUGCCAUUGAUUGACAAUCAUCCAUAUCUGCCCCAUUAUCUUUCAGAUUACCACAGGGGUAAGUUGCAUGCCUUGGAUAAUAGCAGGCAUAAACUCUACAUGCCUUGGAUAAUAGAACAAACUUUUCAGCUCUCUCUCUACUAUCAUCAAGCUUCAGGCAUUUAGACACUUUGAUACAUCAGUUUUCAGAUGGAUAUUUA
RNAcentral lists this unclassified non-coding RNA (621 nucleotides) under Hevea brasiliensis (rubber tree). Lineage: Eukaryota; Viridiplantae; Streptophyta; Magnoliopsida; Malpighiales; Euphorbiaceae. The record is from RNAcentral.